This 513-nucleotide long non-coding RNA is filed under the name Panax ginseng (ginseng). RNAcentral describes it as "long non-coding RNA (PGIN_LNC002756)". Lineage: Eukaryota; Viridiplantae; Streptophyta; Magnoliopsida; Apiales; Araliaceae. The record is from RNAcentral.
CGAUAAUUUUUUUUGUCGUUAAAAUCGAUUUUUUAUAAAUCGAUUUAUUGAUGAUUAGUCACACAUGCAUGUAGGCAAAAGACACAUAAGAGUGAUGUUUUAGCCACACAUAUAAUAGAUGUAGGCAAAAUGUAUUACAUAAACAUAACUUAAGAAAUUAAAUCGAGGAAAAUUAGAGGCACAGUCGAUAGAAGUGUUUUAUUAAUUUAUUUAUUUAUUAGCGAGAGAGAGGUAUAUAUAUAUAUAUAUAUAUAUAUAUAUAUAUAUAUAUAUAUAUAUAUAUAGGUGAUUCAAGUACUGAUCGAUCAUCAUGUGAAUUAGAGUACGUAAUGAUUAGGGUGAUUUUGGCGGACAAUUCCAGCGGCAAUAGCAUUUUUGUAAUAAGCCGACGCAAUGACCAUCAAAAGAUCCAUCUUCUGCGCAAAGUUCCUUGCACUUUCUAUCAUCAGUGCAUAAUCCUUCGAAAUUUCUGUUCUCAUACUCGCAUACCCUCCCCGCCACCAUGCUCUUCUC